UAGGGAAUCUUCCGCAAUGGGCGAAAGCCUGACGGAGCAACGCCGCGUGAGUGAUGAAGGUCUUCGGAUCGUAAAACUCUGUUAUUAGGGAAGAACAAAUGUGUAAGUAACUAUGCACGUCUUGACGGUACCUAAUCAGAAAGCAACGUCUAACUACGUGCCAGCAGCCGCGGUAAUACGUAGGUGGCGAGCGUUAUCCGGAAUUAUUGGGCGUAAAGCGCGCGCAGGCGGUCAAUUAAGUCUGAUGUGAAAGCCCCCGGCUCAACCGGGGAGGUUCAUUGGAAACUGGUUGGCUUGAGUGCAGAAGAGGAGAGUGGAAUUCCAUGUGUAGCGGUGAAAUGCGUAGAUAUAUGGAGGAACACCGGUGGCGAAAGCGGCUCUCUGGUCUGUAACUGACGCUGAGGCUCGAAAGCGUGGGGAGCGAACAGG
This 429-nucleotide ribosomal RNA is filed under the name Bacteroidota bacterium. Its description in RNAcentral is "Bacteroidetes bacterium partial 16S ribosomal RNA". It matches the Rfam family "Bacterial small subunit ribosomal RNA", at positions 355 to 776 of the family's 1533-position model. Lineage: Bacteria; Pseudomonadati; Bacteroidota. The record is from RNAcentral.